UUGUUUUAUUUCGUUUGACUCGGACGCAGCAUUAGGCGGGUUAUGAGGGCUGUCGAGGGCCCCGGCGAGGCCAGGUCGCCCCCGAAGCAACAGGGUCGGUAGACAUGGUGUGAAGAAUACAGGGGUGAGCUGUUACUCUUGUUAAUGAUCCCUCCGCAGGUUCACCUACGGAGA
RNAcentral lists this unclassified non-coding RNA (174 nucleotides) under uncultured fungus. RNAcentral describes it as "sequence contains ITS1". Lineage: Eukaryota; Fungi. The record is from RNAcentral.